This 217-nucleotide long non-coding RNA is filed under the name Elaeis guineensis (African oil palm). Its description in RNAcentral is "long non-coding RNA (EGUI_LNC030980)". The record is from RNAcentral. Lineage: Eukaryota; Viridiplantae; Streptophyta; Magnoliopsida; Arecales; Arecaceae.
GGCAUGGAAAAUAUUUUUAUAAGAACCUUUCUUGCAUGAAGAAAAGGUAGGCAUAGAGAAGAGGUGGCGCAUGGGUUGGUUCAAUUCGAAUUAGAAUUCAAAUUCUUAUCCAAUUAGAUUUUUAACCCAAUCAAAUUAGGUUAGACCCAAUUAGACUAUUGAAUCUAAUCUAAUUAGAUAAUAAAUAGUUUCAAUUAAAUUUUAAUUAAAUAAAAAA